GAUGAACGCUUUCUUCUUUCCUAAUACAUGCAAGUCGAGCGAACAGAUGAGGAGCUUGCUCCUCUGACGUUAGCGGCGGACGGGUGAGUAACACGUGGAUAACCUACCUAUAAGACUGGGAUAACUUCGGGAAACCGGAGCUAAUACCGGAUAAUAUAUUGAACCGCAUGGUUCAAUAGUGAAAGACGGUUUUGCUGUCACUUAUAGAUGGAUCCGCGCCGCAUUAGCUAGUUGGUAAGGUAACGGCUUACCAAGGCAACGAUGCGUAGCCGACCUGAGAGGGUGAGCGGCCACACUGGAACUGAGACACGGUCCAGACUCCUACGGGAGGCAGCAGUAGGGAAUCUUCCGCAAUGGGCGAAAGCCUGACGGAGCAACGCCGCGUGAGUGAUGAAGGUCUUCGGAUCGUAAAACUCUGUUAUUAGGGAAGAACAAAUGUGUAAGUAACUAUGCACGUCUUGACGGUACCUAAUCAGAAAGCCACGGCUAACUACGUG
Molecule: ribosomal RNA, 497 nt
Filed under: uncultured bacterium
Lineage: Bacteria
Description: partial 16S ribosomal RNA
Rfam family: Bacterial small subunit ribosomal RNA
Source: RNAcentral